AAAGGAAUUGACGGGGGCCCGCACAAGCGGCGGAGCAUGCGGAUUAAUUCGAUGCAACGCGAAGAACCUUACCAAGGCUUGACAUACACCGGACACGCUUGGAAACAGGUGCUCCCUUUGGGGCUGGUGUACAGGUGGUGCAUGGUUGUCGUCAGCUCGUGUCGUGAGAUGUUGGGUUAAGUCCCGCAACGAGCGCAACCCUCGUUCUAUGUUGCCAGCACGUGAUGGUGGGAACUCAUAGGAGACUGCCGGGGUCAACUCGGAGGAAGGUGGGGAUGACGUCAAAUCAUCAUGCCCUUUAUGUCUUGGGCUUCACGCAUGCUACAAUGGCCGGUACAGAGAGAGGCGAGCCUGUGAGGGUGAGCGAAUCCCUUAAAGCCGGUCUCAGUUCGGAUCGUAGUCUGCAAUUCGACUACGUGAAGUCGGAGUCGCUAGUAAUCGCAGAUCAGCAACGCUGCGGUGAAUACGUUCCCGGGCCUUGUACACACCGCCCGU
This 495-nucleotide ribosomal RNA is filed under the name uncultured bacterium. RNAcentral's name for it is "bacterial SSU rRNA". It matches the Rfam family "Bacterial small subunit ribosomal RNA", at positions 903 to 1397 of the family's 1533-position model. The record is from RNAcentral.